GUAGUAUCAAGUUUUGUUUGAAGGUAAAUUUUGAAGUGUGAUUAAUUUUCUUUCUAGUAGUGUCCAUGGUUGGUCAGAAAAUUUAGGAAAGGAUGUACAAUGUAAAGUUCUAAAUUUAUCAUGUUCUUAUUUGGGAACCAAUGAAAUCUAAUCCUUCAUUUAAGUGUGUACUUUCAGAUCUUUGAUUUCCUGCUUAUUGCACUAGUGCUUCAAUUUCCUUAGUGUGUAGAAAAUGGCGUUAUCUGUCUGAUUUGAGCUAUAAACUUUUUGUUUUGUGGAUGAUGGAUGUCUGAAAACUCUCGCUCAUUUGGAUCUUUCUAAAAAUUUGGGUAGGAUUCUUCUAGAAAUGGUAUAGGAAAAGUUGAGAAAUUAAAGUUUUGAAUUUUAGUUCUGUCUUACACUGAGGUCUUUAGUUCCAAAAUCUCGUUUAGAUCCUAUGUAUUGGGAUUCAUUUUAUUUGGAUUUGGCGUAUUAGUUCUGAUCUACUGGGCUUUGGAUUUGCAUUUUCUUGAAUUGUGUUUGAAAUCACUUAUCAAAAAAAAAAAAAAAAAAAAUUGUGUUUGAAAUGGUUCGGUGGUUGUCCCACUUAGGCUUUGGGUCAAUUUUUAAGGGAUAGUUCUUAGGUUCAAAAAAACAUAAAAAAAGGUAAAUUAAUAAAUAAAAAACCACAUAGGUGUUUUCAGUAAUCUAUGUUUCUUUAAUAUAUUCUUUAAAAAUGGUGCUUUGGAUGGUUGGUCUCUCAAAAGACAAAUGUUUUUAGCUUGGUUGCAAUAAGGAGACUGCUUGAUUUUGUUCAGUGAUUUAGCGUGUCUAAGUUAUGAGCCUUCUGGUUUAGUUGACUUAGUUCUAUAUUAUGAUUUUCCCCCAAAAAAUUUGGAUUUUGGGGGUAAAAAUCAUAUUUUUGAAGUUUCAACUGUUUUAAUGUAAAGAAUGGAUGGGAAAAGAAUUGAAAAUCACAUUUUAAUUAUUUAGGCCCUGAGAAAGCAAGGAACCUCAAGCCUUAUACAAUUACCUAGCUUGGAUAAGGUGAGUUCCCAUAUUUAUGCCAAAAGAAAAUGUAGAACGUUGGGUUCAAUAUAUUAAUUUCUAUUCUCUUCCUACAUAUACUCACUAACUAGAACUUACUAUGAUUAAUGCUAUCAUGAUUGGAUUGUAUUAUAUACUUUUUUACUUAUGCUGUGAAAAUUUUACUGCCAGAGUUAGGGUGCUUACAAAUUCAUUGCUUUGGGUAUUUAAGUGGCUAACUGAUGCACAUGAUCUGCUAUUUACAUAUAUGUGCUUAAACAAAUCCAUUGGGACUCUAUAUUUAUUUAUUUAUUUAUUUAUUUAUUAUUAUAUAAAUAUAUAAGUCAAAUUUGUUGGACUCUCUCAGUAUAUAAAUUUUGGUGGUAGUAGGUCAUGUAUGUUUGUGGUCCCUUGGCCUAAGUAUUGUUUCUGGGAAGUUCCAAUUAAUAUUAUAAUUGUUGGAUUAAAUAUUAACAUAAUGAAUAAAAUAAUGAAACGGAGGUGGAAAAUGGAGGCCAUAGAGACAUGUGACGUGAUGGUGUACACAAAGAUCUUAAAAUUUCCACAUAAGUUCUGGCCAUGUGGACCCGGAAAAGAGUUCAUGUAUGCUCACGAGAGGAGGGGAUACUACACAUUCUGGCAGCCUGCCUAAUUUACUUACUACUACACACUUCUUGAAGCAGCUAUCUAUCUUCUUUUGCUUCAGUUUGGAUUUGGUUCAUCCAUAGGCAACCUACCUAAUUUACUUGCUACUAUACACUUCCAAAGCAGCUAUCUAUCUCCUCUUGCUU
Long non-coding RNA from Quercus robur (English oak), 1796 nucleotides. RefSeq lists it as uncharacterized. The transcript has 3 exons. The record is from RefSeq and is a predicted model, not a curated record. NCBI's taxonomy places the organism in Eukaryota, Viridiplantae, Streptophyta, Magnoliopsida, Fagales, Fagaceae.